GUCCGUUGGUCAAGGGGUUAAGACACCGCCUUUUCACGGCGGUAACACGGGUUCGAAUCCCGUACGGAC
This 69-nucleotide transfer RNA is filed under the name Streptococcus pneumoniae. RNAcentral's name for it is "tRNA-Glu". It matches the Rfam family "tRNA". Rfam says of the family: Transfer RNA (tRNA) molecules are approximately 80 nucleotides in length. Their secondary structure includes four short double-helical elements and three loops (D, anti-codon, and T loops). The record is from RNAcentral. Lineage: Bacteria; Bacillati; Bacillota; Bacilli; Lactobacillales; Streptococcaceae.